CGGCAACACUAGCCACCAGCAGCAGUUCCACCCCGCACUCCGCGCUCCGCACGCGGAUACUCGAAUACGGGCUCCAGCAGUUUAUUACGUAUACGGUACGGUGCCGCAUGCUGCCGCCGCUAUCCGCCGAGUGCCGUGUGCCGUUUGCCGCUUGCCUCUUGCCUCUUGCCGCCCGUUAACCGUUGGCAUUGCAAAUGCGAAAUCAAAAUAAAGUGCAAUACAAAUAUUAGCACUGCAAUAAAACAAUAAAAUAAUCAACUUUGAGCGUAUUAAUUGCAAUCUUGUGAUAGAGAUUAUUUAAGCGGAACACGGGAGGGAGCACCAGAAACAACAACAACAACACAAAGAACAGGGAAGCACAACAGAAAUCUGCAGUUAAAGCGAAUGAGAGAGCUUGGACAAACAUCAACAGGAGCCCGGAAGCACGGAAGCACGGAAGCACGGAAGCACGAAGGACCAACCAAAUCAUAAGUAAACAGAGCGAGAGGGAGCGAGCGGACAGGGUGGACAGCGGAUAGGGGAGGCGGCAGGACGAAGGAUAAACGUGGUCUCGUUGCCAUGAGUGCAGCCUCGGGUGUUGUCAAGGAGUA
Drosophila persimilis is the source of this 590-nucleotide long non-coding RNA. RefSeq lists it as uncharacterized. Lineage: Eukaryota; Metazoa; Arthropoda; Insecta; Diptera; Drosophilidae. The transcript is spliced from 3 exons. The record is from RefSeq and is a predicted model, not a curated record.